AUUUUAUUUAUUUUUAUUUAAAGAUUUAAUUAAAAUCCCCCGUUCCUUAAUUUAUUCAAUACCAAGCAGGCGAGAUCAUUAUUGGUCUCGCGAUGUUUGAAUGUCAUGUGACAGCUGCACGUCAGCAUCCUAAAUUGACAGCUACGGCUUAUAUUGGUGCUGAAUCGCACCUUUAGGUUGGAGACGCUGUCGGACUCUGACGUGCAGGUAGGCUUGGGUUUCUGUUCCCAAAGCGGUUUUGCUUUUGAAUGUCGAUCAUACAUCAAUCGUAUACCUCUGUUAAAUUACAGACAUGGUCACUCAUCUGUACGCUGAAACGAUCUCUGUCUGUCAAUGAGGAACUGGCCAGGUGUUCCAGAUCCCACCGCCGCUCGGAGUAAACUGGAGGAUCUGGGACACAUUAAGAACUGUCUGGUUUAUGUACACUGACCGGACUAACCAUAGCGGAACCGGAAAUCCACCCAAAAUCUGAGGAACCGUCUCCAGACUGGUUGGAAAUUCAACCAACCAUUCACAGCUGGAACUAAAUGACUAUUUUGUUUUUUCCCUUUCAUCACCGAAAGAGACUUCCUUGUUUUAAGGAACUGGACUUCACAGUUGUGAAACACUUUGUACAUAUUGUAAAUAUAAAUACACUUCGCUGAUUUUGCACCAUC
Molecule: non-coding RNA, 656 nt
Organism: Poecilia reticulata (guppy)
Lineage: Eukaryota; Metazoa; Chordata; Actinopteri; Cyprinodontiformes; Poeciliidae
Source: RefSeq, a predicted model, not a curated record